GCUUGUCUCAAAGAUUAAGCCAUGCAUGUCUAAGUAUAAGUAUUAUACAGCGAAACUGCGAAUGGCUCAUUAAAACAGUUAUAGUUUACAUGAUAAUCGAAUUUACAUGGAUAACCGUGGUAAUUCUAGAGCUAAUACAUGCGUCAAGUCCCGACUAGCGCAAGCUGGAAAGGAUGUAUUUAUUAGAUCCAACCAACCGCGGCGGGCAACCGGCGCGAACCUGGUGAAUCAUGAUAACUGAGCGAAUCGUAUGGCCUCGCGCCGACGAUGGUUCAUUCAAGUUUCUGCCCUAUCAGCUUUCGAUGGUAGGGUAUUGGCCUACCAUGGCAUUGACGGGUAACGGAGAAUUAGGGUUCGAUUCCGGAGAGGGAGCCUGAGAAACGGCUACCACAUCCAAGGAAGGCAGCAGG
This 410-nucleotide ribosomal RNA is filed under the name uncultured Bicosoeca. Its description in RNAcentral is "partial small subunit ribosomal RNA". It matches the Rfam family "Eukaryotic small subunit ribosomal RNA", at positions 30 to 432 of the family's 1831-position model. The record is from RNAcentral. Lineage: Eukaryota; Bigyra; Bicosoecida.